UGGGGUGUAGCUCAGUGGUAGAGCGCUUUCCUAGUAAGCACAAGGAACUGGGCUCAAUUCCCAGCAUCAUAC
This 72-nucleotide transfer RNA is filed under the name Fukomys damarensis (Damara mole-rat). It matches the Rfam family "tRNA". Rfam says of the family: Transfer RNA (tRNA) molecules are approximately 80 nucleotides in length. Their secondary structure includes four short double-helical elements and three loops (D, anti-codon, and T loops). Further hydrogen bonds mediate the characteristic L-shaped molecular structure. tRNAs have two regions of fundamental functional importance: the anti-codon, which is responsible for specific mRNA codon recognition, and the 3' end, to which the tRNAs corresponding amino acid is attached (by aminoacyl-tRNA synthetases). tRNAs cope with the degeneracy of the genetic code in two manners: having more than one tRNA (with a specific anti-codon) for a particular amino acid; and 'wobble' base-pairing, i.e. permitting non-standard base-pairing at the 3rd anti-codon position. The record is from Rfam by way of RNAcentral. Lineage: Eukaryota; Metazoa; Chordata; Mammalia; Rodentia; Bathyergidae.